AUGGCCCUGCUGCUGUGCCUGGGCAUGACCGCGGCGCUGGCCCGGGGCUGCCUGCACUGCCACGGCAACUUCUCGGACAAGUUCUCCUUCUACCGCCACCACGUGAACCUCAAGUCCUGGUGGGUGGGCGACAUCCCCGUGUCGGGCGCGCUGCUCACCGACUGGAGCCAGGACACGAUGAAUGAGCUGCACCUGGCCAUCCCCGCGGAGAUCACCGAGGAGAAGCUGGACCAGGUGGCCAAUGCCGUGUAUCAGAGGCUGGAUCAGCUGUACCAGGGGAAGAUGUAUUUCCCGGGGUACUUCCCCAAUGAACUGCGAGCCAUCUUCAGGGAACAGGUGCACCUCAUCCAGAACGCCAUCAUCGAAAGCCGCAUCGACUGUCAGCGACACUGUGGUAUCUUCCAGUAUGAGACCAUCUCCUGCAACAACUGCACUGACUCCCACGUUGUUUGCUUCGGCUACAACUGCGAGUCGUCGGCACAGUGGGAGCGGGCCGUGCAGGGCCUCCUUGGGUACAUAAGUAGGUGGCACAAGUAAGUCCCCCAUUCCUCAAACGGGACAUCCUAUCAGAGGCAGUGGGGGUGUGCAUGGGCAUGCCUCCACGCAGGACAAGACACGAACACAAGGUAAGGCUGCAGGCCAUCCUCGCCAAAGCCCUGGCCUUCCCUGGGGAGGGGUCAAGGGAGGGAGGGGCAGGGUGGCAGGAGUCCUCCGGGGCCUGGGGGUACAGAGCUGGGAGGGCGUUCUCUGCACGUGGACAUGCCUGGAUGUCACCUGUACAACCACACCCCACGUGACCGCUCCAUGAACCAACUUCGAGCUCCUCCUCUUCCCCACUGGGCUGCACAGAACCACCCCGGCCUUCCUGGUCUCGCCAAGCUUCACGUGUCUGGAGCCGCCACACCUGGCCAACCUGACGCUGGAGAACGCCUCUGAGUGCCUGACCCAGCACUGACCGACUGCCUGAGCACCCCCGCUCCAUGGGGGCCAGGAUUCAGCAGGGCUGGCCCGGCUGACCCUCUGGGAGCAGGCGUGCUGCUGCCUUGGGGUCCCCCAUACAGCCCGAGCCUGCCGGCGGGAGGAGGGCAGGGAGAUGGCUUUUGUACAUAGAUAGCACUGCAGGUUCCCAGGACUUAGCUGGGUGAUUAAACUGCCCUGACAUUUCUCCUUGAGAAGUUGUCGUUGGCACUGAGGGUUGGUCCCCAGGCACAGGGACGGCCCCGCCCCAGCUGGGGUGGCUGAUGGACCCAACGGCCGAUUGUCAAAACCAGUCUGAGUGUCCUGGGGCUGGCUGUGACAAAGUACCACAAGCUGGGUGACUUCAAACUCACAGCCCUGGAGGCCAGAAGUCCAAAAUCACGGCACCGGCAGGGCUGCGCUCCCUCAGGGGCUCAAGGGGAGGGUCCUUCCUUACCCCUUCCAACUUCUGGUGGCCCCAGGCGUUCCUGGCUCAAGGCUGCAUCACUCCAGUCUCUGCCCCCACUCACCAAGCAUGUCCUCUGCCAGGGGCUCCCCAACAGAAGGCCCCUUCCAUGCACAGCGCAGGGUUCUCAGGAUUACUGAGGCUGCGUUUUGUCAGAACCAGGGCCAGCAGGGUUUUUCCUGUUCUGGUGUGUGGGUCACUUGAAGCCACACCAAACAAGCACAGGGGCCAACGUCUCCUGCAUUCUUUCCUUCUGACAAUGCUUGUGGCCCAGGUCCCGAAAAGGGGCAGGUAACGGCACGAGGCAGGGCUAAGGGUUUUAGAGCAGAUUCAGGGGACGAAGAACAAACUUGGGGUUGUGUCCACCGAGGGGGCCGUCUGUGCACGUAUGCAUGGCCGCAGAUCACAGCGGCACUCUUGAUUCAAAGGACAGGUAACAGACCCAGGGCUGCAUCCACCGAGGGGGCCGUCUGUGUGCAUACGCAUGGCCGCGAGUCACAGCGGCCUCCUGAGCUCACCGCUGUCCAGCCUCACCUCCACAUCUGCGGUCACCUGGGCCUGAGUGCCUGUUUGCUCACUUGCCUUCUCCUACAUUCACGGGGACCAGGACUACUCCAGUCCCUGGUGAGGCCCUCGCAGGAAGUCCCCUGGGAAAGGUCUCACCGAUGGGACGCCAAGAGCUCCAAUGCCCGUGUUCCAGACGCUAUGCGUCUGCAGACGGUGUUUGGUGACCGCCAUUCUUACAGGAAGAGUCCCUGGGCGGCACAAAUGGUUUGCACUCCACUAACCUAAGGGUUGGUGGUUCAAAUCUACCCAGCAGUGCUGUGAAAAAAAGGCCUGACAAUUUGCUUUUGUAAAAACGACAGCCACGAAAACCCUACGGAGCACAGCUGUACUCUGCACACACAGGGUCUCCAAGAGUCAGAAUCCACUCGAUUUGUGGAUUGGCUGGGUUUUUGGUUCUUGAAGGAAAGUUUCAAUUUUGGUAACGAAAACAACACGUUUUAAAAGAGGUAGGGAAACCCCUGAGUCACGUUCCAGGUGGGGUGUCGGAGCUGCCUGCAACGUGGGGGACAGCGUGGUGGGCGCACCUGUGAACAUGCUACAUCGGGGGGUGGGAGCCACGUGGUGAGCGACAGGCCUCCGCGGUCUGACUGAAUCCCUGUGGAGGAAGCUGGCUGGUGGUCUGGCAUCCUUGCAUCAGAUAUUCCCAUUUUUCCAUGCGGAAUCACCGGAGAUGGGUUUCAAGGUAAUUUCCAAGGGACGGCUGGAGGGAGCACGAGCUCGUGGGGUGCCCAGUGCCCUCCACGAUUCCCUACCCAUCACAACACCCCUGAACCAGGGGUCUGACUGGAGUCGGCAUACCUCACCCUCCCACUGGGACACUCACUGGCCCAUCUGCACUUUAUGACACAGACUCCCUCGGACUGACGUGUCCCCCCUGCUGACCUGGCAUGACCUCUUAUCGGUAAGGCUGAGGUGGCCAACGCAAAAGCUGCCAGGGCACGGCUCCCCUGGCUGCCCUCCCUGGCAUCUGUCCCUGCCCCGUGCCCACACUCAGAGUCCACGGUGGGGCUGCCUUUACCUGCUGAGCCCCAGGAGCCCAGGUGCAGUGUGGCCGUCACAACCACCCCCGCAGGCACGAGGAGGUACACUCAGGGGAGACAGGCCGCAGAAGGAAUGGCCGCUCACAGCCGUUUAGACUCCAGCAAUCCUGACCCCAGGAGCAGCUGUCCCCAAGGACAAUGGGUGGCCAGUGGGGACAGUGCGAGCCCCAGCCAUGGAUACACAGUGGACAUGCCCACUCAGGCAGGAGUCCUCAGGUGUAA
Loxodonta africana (African savanna elephant) is the source of this 3252-nucleotide RNA transcript. It is a transcript of the gene named IZUMO family member 4, with no coding region annotated. Lineage: Eukaryota; Metazoa; Chordata; Mammalia; Proboscidea; Elephantidae. The record is from RefSeq and is a predicted model, not a curated record. The transcript has 9 exons.